This 400-nucleotide ribosomal RNA is filed under the name uncultured soil bacterium. RNAcentral describes it as "bacterial SSU rRNA". It matches the Rfam family "Bacterial small subunit ribosomal RNA", at positions 977 to 1375 of the family's 1533-position model. The record is from RNAcentral.
GGGCUUGACAUGACCAGGAUCCCGGCGGAAACGCCGGUUCCCCGCAAGGGGCCUGGCCACAGGUGUUGCAUGGCUGUCGUCAGCUCGUGUCGUGAGAUGUUGGGUUAAGUCCCGCAACGAGCGCAACCCUUAUUCUAUGUUGCCAGCACGUAAUGGUGGGGACUCGUAGGAGACUGCCGGGGUCAACUCGGAGGAAGGUGGGGACGACGUCAAGUCAUCAUGCCCCUUAUGUCCAGGGCUGCAAACACGCUACAAUGGCCGGUACAAAGGGCUGCAAGCUCGUGAGAGUAAGCGAAUCCCAUAAAGCCGGUCUCAGUUCGGAUUGCAGUCUGCAACUCGACUGCAUGAAGUUGGAAUCGCUAGUAAUCCCAGAUCAGCAUGCUGGGGUGAAUACGUUCCC